Molecule: transfer RNA, 71 nt
Filed under: Acaudina molpadioides
Lineage: Eukaryota; Metazoa; Echinodermata; Holothuroidea; Molpadida; Caudinidae
Description: tRNA-Asn
Rfam family: tRNA
About the family: Transfer RNA (tRNA) molecules are approximately 80 nucleotides in length. Their secondary structure includes four short double-helical elements and three loops (D, anti-codon, and T loops).
Source: RNAcentral
UGAGUUGAAGCUGAAAGCAAAGCAUUUGGCCGUUAACCAAAAGGAUGAAGGUUUAAACCCUUUCAACUCAG